This 588-nucleotide unclassified non-coding RNA is filed under the name Hevea brasiliensis (rubber tree). The record is from RNAcentral. Lineage: Eukaryota; Viridiplantae; Streptophyta; Magnoliopsida; Malpighiales; Euphorbiaceae.
GCAAAUGAUGUGUUGUAUUAGGGACUAGCUGAUCAAGAUUCAAUACACACAGCUAUGUUUAAAAGUUGAUAUUAAAAUGUAAUGCUAGAACUAAAUUUGCAAUAACAAAGACUCGAUAAAUGCUCCACUAAGCUUAGGUACGAUAUUGCUACUUCUGGUCCAAACCCGCACAAGAAGAACAUUGAUUAGAACAUUCAGUUGCUGGACUUUGUACAAUGUGCGCAGCAGAAUCAUGCUCCCCAAGACUUCAUUUGCUUCAUUCUGUAGAAAUGGACUCUCCCUGUGCUUCUUUCUUUGAUUCUUCAUUUGCUUCAUCAAUUACUAUCUGUGAAUUAGAACUAGAUGCAACCUCCUCCAAUAUUUCAUUUGCUUCGUUCAGUAUAGUAGGACUGUCCGCAAUCUUUUUCCCUUUACUGCUCUUCUGCAAGUCCUUGUCUAUGCCACCAUGAGAAGCAGAAUGCUCAUUUGAAACUCCAUUUGCUUCAUCGAGUAAAACAAGACUCUCCACUAAAGUGUCCAAAUAAAAGGAGGGUGCGUUGCCCAAAAUUUCAGUGGCCGAGAUUUCUUCUGUCUUUGGAUCAUAGAAAA